GUGGGGAAUAUUGGGCAAUGGGGGAAACCCUGACCCAGCAACGCCGCGUGAAGGAAGAAGGUUUUCGGAUCGUAAACUUCUAUCCUUGGUGAAGAUAAUGACGGUAGCCAAGAAGGAAGCCCCGGCUAACUACGUGCCAGCAGCCGCGGUAAUACGUAGGGGGCAAGCGUUGUCCGGAAUGCUUGGGCGUAAAGGGCGCGUAGGCGGCCUGGUAAGUCUGGAGUGAAAGUCCUGCUUUUAAGGUGGGAAUUGCUUUGGAUACUGUCGGGCUUGAGUGCAGGAGAGGUAAGCGGAAUUCCCGGUGUAGCGGUGAAAUGCGUAGAGAUCGGGAGGAACACCAGUGGCGAAGGCGGCUUACUGGACUGUAACUGACGCUGAGGCGCGAAAGUGUGGGGAGCAAACAGGAUUAGAUACCCUAGUAGUCC
Molecule: ribosomal RNA, 425 nt
Filed under: uncultured bacterium
Lineage: Bacteria
Description: partial 16S ribosomal RNA
Rfam family: Bacterial small subunit ribosomal RNA
Source: RNAcentral